UGAGGAAUAUUGGUCAAUGGGCGGGAGCCUGAACCAGCCAAGUCGCGUGAAGGAAGAAGGAUCUAUGGUUCGUAAACUUCUUUUGCAGGGGAAUAAAGUGCAGGACGUGUCCUGUUUUGUAUGUACCCUGAGAAUAAGGAUCGGCUAACUCCGUGCCAGCAGCCGCGGUAAUACGGAGGAUCCGAGCGUUAUCCGGAUUUAUUGGGUUUAAAGGGUGCGUAGGUGGUUUGAUAAGUCAGCGGUGAAAGUUUGCAGCUUAACUGUAAAAAUGCCGUUGAAACUGUCGGGCUUGAGUGUAAAUGAGGUAGGCGGAAUGCGUGGUGUAGCGGUGAAAUGCAUAGAUAUCACGCAGAACUCCGAUUGCGAAGGCAGCUUACUAAGCUACAACUGACACUGAAGCACGAAAGCGUGGGGAUCAAACA
RNAcentral lists this ribosomal RNA (422 nucleotides) under uncultured bacterium. RNAcentral's name for it is "bacterial SSU rRNA". It matches the Rfam family "Bacterial small subunit ribosomal RNA", at positions 355 to 774 of the family's 1533-position model. The record is from RNAcentral.